Long non-coding RNA from Danaus plexippus (monarch butterfly), 508 nucleotides. RefSeq lists it as uncharacterized. The transcript is spliced from 5 exons. Lineage: Eukaryota; Metazoa; Arthropoda; Insecta; Lepidoptera; Nymphalidae. The record is from RefSeq and is a predicted model, not a curated record.
AAACCACGUUUCAGUUGAAAUUCACUAAAAAAAAACUUUAAAAUGUUAGCAAAAUCAUUUUUUAUGUGCCUUUUUAUAUUAGGCGCAAUCUUGACACAGAGAUAUCCAGGUGUUCACUCUACAUUCUUUGGAUUUAAUCCCUUUUUUGAUGUGUACGCCAGGGCCGGCCUGAAUGGAUAUCAUCGUGGUUUUAAUUAUAUUACUCCAGGUUACCUUUGCGGUAAUUUUCCACUUACCAGGCUAUUUUGUAAAUAAAUAGCAUUUACACAUCAACGUAUGUAUUCAUCAAACUCGAGGAACCUUUCUUAUAAAAAGAUAACAAUGAUGAGCAAGACAUUUGGACUACUUCACCCGGUAUUGAAAAAUCGCAAAAUUGACCUCAUAGUUUUCCAGCACAAAUAAAAACUAUAUCCAUUUUCUCUAGGGGUUUCUAUCCUAGUAUAAACUAAAUGUUCAAACCUGAUUUCAAAAAAAAUACUGUUUUUCUCAGACUUAAUAAAGAUUAAAG